UUGUCUUUGGGGCGGGGUGCGAAUCCCCACCGGCGGUAAAGCCCGCAAGCCAUGUUUGGCAUGACUCGGUGAAAUUCCGAGGCCGACCGUAUAGUCGGGAUGAGAAAAGACG
This 112-nucleotide non-coding RNA is filed under the name uncultured Mitsuokella sp. RNAcentral's name for it is "FMN riboswitch (RFN element)". It matches the Rfam family "FMN riboswitch aptamer (RFN element)". From Rfam's summary of the family: The RFN element is a highly conserved domain that is found frequently in the 5'-untranslated regions of prokaryotic mRNAs that encode for flavin mononucleotide (FMN) biosynthesis and transport proteins. This element is a metabolite-dependent riboswitch that directly binds FMN in the absence of proteins. Lineage: Bacteria; Bacillati; Bacillota; Negativicutes; Selenomonadales; Selenomonadaceae. The record is from RNAcentral.